UGGGGAAUCUUGCACAAUGGAGGAAACUCUGAUGCAGCGAUGCCGCGUGAGUGAAGAAGGCCUUUGGGUUGUAAAGCUCUUUUGUAGGGGAAGAUAAUGACUGUACCCUAAGAAUAAGGUCCGGCUAACUUCGUGCCAGCAGCCGCGGUAAUACGAAGGGACCUAGCGUAGUUCGGAAUUACUGGGCGUAAAGCGCGCGUAGGCCGUUGAGUUAGUUAAUUGUGAAAUCCCAAAGCUUAACUUUGGAACUGCAAUUAAAACUGCUCGACUAGAGUUUGAUAGAGGAAAGCGGAAUACAUAGUGUAGAGGUGAAAUUCGUAGAUAUUAUGUAGAACACCAGUUGCGAAGGCGGCUUUCUGGAUCAACACUGACGCUGAGGCGCGAA
This 385-nucleotide ribosomal RNA is filed under the name uncultured bacterium. RNAcentral describes it as "bacterial SSU rRNA". It matches the Rfam family "Bacterial small subunit ribosomal RNA", at positions 355 to 757 of the family's 1533-position model. The record is from RNAcentral.